RNAcentral lists this ribosomal RNA (443 nucleotides) under uncultured bacterium. RNAcentral describes it as "partial 16S ribosomal RNA". It matches the Rfam family "Bacterial small subunit ribosomal RNA", at positions 338 to 795 of the family's 1533-position model. The record is from RNAcentral.
CCUACGGGAGGCAGCAGUGGGGAAUAUUGGGCAAUGGGCGCAAGCCUGACCCAGCUACUCCGCGUGAAGGAAGAAGGCUUUCGGGUUGUAAACUUCUUUUCUCAGGGACGAAGAAAGUGACGGUACCUGAGGAAUAAGCUACGGCUAACUACGUGCCAGCAGCCGCGGUAAUACGUAGGUGGCAAGCGUUAUCCGGAUUUAUUGGGUGUAAAGGGCGUGUAGGCGGGAGAGCAAGUCAGAUGUGAAAGCUCAGGGCUCAACCCUGGGCCUGCAUUUGAAACUGUGUGUCUAGAGUGCUGGAGAGGCAAUCGGAAUUCCGUGUGUAGCAGUGAAAUGCGUAGAUAUACGGAAGAACACCAGUGGCGAAGGCAGAUUGCUGGACAGUAACUGACACUGAGGCACGAAAGUGUGGGUAUCAAACAGGAUUAGAUACCCGUGUAGUC